CAGUCGCCACGGUAAUACGUAGGGUGCAAGCGUUGUCCGGAAUUAUUGGGCGUAAAGAGCUCGUAGGCGGUUUGUCGCGUCUGCUGUGAAAACGCGAGGCUCAACCUCGCGCCUGCAGUGGGUACGGGCAGACUAGAGUGUGGUAGGGGAGAUUGGAAUUCCUGGUGUAGCGGUGGAAUGCGCAGAUAUCAGGAGGAACACCGAUGGCGAAGGCAGAUCUCUGGGCCAUUACUGACGCUGAGGAGCGAAAGCGUGGGGAGCGAACAGGAUUAGAGACCCCCGUAGUCCCUGUCUCUUAUAC
RNAcentral lists this ribosomal RNA (301 nucleotides) under uncultured bacterium. RNAcentral describes it as "partial 16S ribosomal RNA". It matches the Rfam family "Bacterial small subunit ribosomal RNA", at positions 509 to 807 of the family's 1533-position model. The record is from RNAcentral.